Molecule: long non-coding RNA, 1378 nt
Organism: Pan troglodytes (chimpanzee)
Lineage: Eukaryota; Metazoa; Chordata; Mammalia; Primates; Hominidae
Exons: 3
Source: RefSeq, a predicted model, not a curated record
UCCACGCACAGCUUCCGUCCCCCGUCAGUCCACGCACAGCUUCCGUCCCCCGUCAGUCCACGCACAGCUUCCGUCCCCCGUCAGUCCACGCACAGCUUCUGUCUCCCGUCAGUCCGGUACUCCAGCAGCGGUGAAAAUCUCCUCAGUUCUUGUCUGUUCCAUCAGGCCAGCCCACCAUCUGAGCCCCAAACUCGAGUGCUCACCCUGCAGCCCGGGUUGGGAUGUCUGUGCUCCAGGCUGGAGACCACAGUGAACCUCCGCACAGAUGUGCCUCCACCACCAGCUGUGUGCCUGCUGCUCUGUAGCCCCUGGGAUUCACAGCUCUCUCUCCCUCCCUUCCUCCCUCCCCCACCCUUCUCCACAGCCUUCCUUCCUCCCCUCCCGCUUCACAAGAGCACAUUGAACACCACCUCUGUCAUGUCCCAAGCCAGGCACCAAGGUCACAAGCAUAUUCCACUCCUCCCACCCUUCAAGUGCUCACAGGUUACUGGAAGAGAAACAAGUAAACAGGUCUUCAGGACACAAGAGACACAGCACAAUGACAGAGCUAGAACCAUUCUGGAUGCAAAGGAGAGAAGUUGAUUCAUCGCAACAACAGAUGCUGUCGGCCCUUCGGGCUGAAUUCCCGGGACCCACAUCUCAUCCUGCUUGUCAAACCUCUUGAUUCAGUGAAUCCCUGGUUCAUUCAGAAAACAAAACUCAUCACUUUCAAAGCCAAAGAAUCAUCAUGAGGAAGCUUCAUGUACAUUUCCAAAAUGUAAAAGAAAAUAUUCCAAGAGCACUGGUCUUCGAAACAGACCGCGGAGGGUUAAAAGCCAAGGCCUCCUCCCACAAAUAAAAGAAACCCAAAAUGUUCUACCUGUUUUAUCUAAACAACGACGCAAUAAACAGCUUGAAAACUUAUCAGGUAUUGAGAAAUACGUGGUUUAUCAAGGAAACCCAAGAUAAGAGGAAGGCAGAGAAACAACCGCGGUCAACAAGCGGGGGCUGUGGCGCCCUGGGGGCUCCGCAGUGGGUUCCUCGGGCUGAGCACUGAACAUCAGCACUGCCUGGGGGAAGCUCGUUGACUACAGCAUCUUAGGCCCCACCGAAGAGAGGUUGGAGAUGCAGCCAAGGAUGGCAUAAUUGUAACCAGUUCCCCAGCUGAUCCUUAUAAAGAGGCAGAUUUGGGAACCGCCACUGCCACCCAGCACAAAUUCAGUCCUGACUCCCUUCCUGGGGCUUCAGAAGGCAGGAGCUCUUCCCAAGGACGCUGCCCAGCUCCACCUGGAGCCAGGUGAGGGUCCAGAGGCACAGCGCCCAGCCCUUGUCUCACAAAUGUACUACAUACACAUGUGCACACACACAAUUAAUGUACAUAUGCAUACAUGUGUAUUCA